AUUGAACGCUGGCGGCAUGCUUUACACAUGCAAGUCGAACGGCAGCACGGGCUUCGGCCUGGUGGCGAGUGGCGAACGGGUGAGUAAUAUAUCGGAACGUACCCAGAAGUGGGGGAUAACGUAGCGAAAGAUACGCUAAUACUGCAUACGAUCUACUGCUGAAGGAAGGGGAGCGCAAGGCCUUGUGCUCGUGGAGCGGCCGAUAUCCGAUUUGCUAGUUGGUGAGGUAAAGGCUCACCAAGGCGACGAUCAGUAGCUGGUCUGAGAGGACGACCAGCCACACUGGAACUGAGACACGGUCCAGACUCCUACGGGAGGCUGCAGUGGGGAAUUUUGGACAAUGGGCGCAAGCCUGAUCCAGCAAUGCCGCGUGAGUGAAGAAGGCCUUCGGGUUGUAAAGCUCUUUUGUCAGGGAAGAAACGGUAGAGGCUAAUAUCCUGUGCUAAUGACGGUACCUGAAGAAUAAGCACCGGCUAACUACGUG
RNAcentral lists this ribosomal RNA (484 nucleotides) under uncultured bacterium. RNAcentral's name for it is "partial 16S ribosomal RNA". It matches the Rfam family "Bacterial small subunit ribosomal RNA", at positions 30 to 507 of the family's 1533-position model. The record is from RNAcentral.